Molecule: ribosomal RNA, 422 nt
Filed under: uncultured bacterium
Lineage: Bacteria
Description: bacterial SSU rRNA
Rfam family: Bacterial small subunit ribosomal RNA
Source: RNAcentral
GGGGAAUAUUGCGCAAUGGGCGAAAGCCUGACGCAGCAACGCCGCGUGUGUGAUGAAGGCCUUCGGGUUGUAAAGCACUGUUCAGAGGGAAGAAAUGGCGGGGGUAAACACUUCGUUUUGACGGUACCUCUGAAGAAAGCACUGGCUAACUCCGUGCCAGCAGCCGCGGUAAUACGGAGAGUGCAAGCGUUGUCCGGAAUUAUUGGGCGUAAAGGGCGUCUAGGUGGCAUGGCAAGUCAGAUGUGAAAUCCCUCGGCUCAACCGAGGACGUGCAUUUGAAACUGCUAAGCUUGAGUAUCGGAGGGGGCAGCGGAAUUCCUGGUGUAGAGGUGAAAUUCGUAGAUAUCAGGAGGAACACCAGUGGCGAAGGCGGCUGCCUGGCCGAAUACUGACACUGAAGCGCGAAAGCGUGGGGAGCAAAC